AGAAGCGUGCCAGAGAGGCCGAUUGGGCUCGACUGCUAAUCGAGAACUCGCCGAAAGGGGAGUCGCGGGUUCGAAUCCCGCCGCUUCUGCCA
RNAcentral lists this transfer RNA (92 nucleotides) under Burkholderia vietnamiensis. RNAcentral describes it as "tRNA-Ser". It matches the Rfam family "tRNA". Rfam says of the family: Transfer RNA (tRNA) molecules are approximately 80 nucleotides in length. Their secondary structure includes four short double-helical elements and three loops (D, anti-codon, and T loops). Further hydrogen bonds mediate the characteristic L-shaped molecular structure. tRNAs have two regions of fundamental functional importance: the anti-codon, which is responsible for specific mRNA codon recognition, and the 3' end, to which the tRNAs corresponding amino acid is attached (by aminoacyl-tRNA synthetases). tRNAs cope with the degeneracy of the genetic code in two manners: having more than one tRNA (with a specific anti-codon) for a particular amino acid; and 'wobble' base-pairing, i.e. permitting non-standard base-pairing at the 3rd anti-codon position. Lineage: Bacteria; Pseudomonadati; Pseudomonadota; Betaproteobacteria; Burkholderiales; Burkholderiaceae. The record is from RNAcentral. RNAcentral also lists the same sequence under 2 other names.